This is a long non-coding RNA of Glycine soja, 1539 nucleotides long. RefSeq lists it as uncharacterized. The record is from RefSeq and is a predicted model, not a curated record. The transcript is spliced from 3 exons. Lineage: Eukaryota; Viridiplantae; Streptophyta; Magnoliopsida; Fabales; Fabaceae.
UAUAAUUAUUUUUUAUUCAAGUUAAAUUGAUUUAAAUUUUUAUUUUCAGGAACGUCCUGAGUUGAAGUUGUCCUCCCACAGAAGGAAGGUAGAGAAAUUUGGAAUGUCUGUUCCAGAGAUUGAAGGCAUAGUGGUUGUCACAGGAUUAAGUCCUCUAAUUGCAUGCUCCUUGGACAAUGGUGACAAGGGACUUAUAUAUGUUUUUGCUGAGAGGUGUCAUAAGAAAACUAGUAGUUUCCAUCUUCUGGUAAGAAAUGUCACUAUCACCCUCGAUAAUGUGGCAUUGUUGCUUUAUCUGCUCGUUACAAGUGCCUUUCAUAGCUUUGAGGCUCCUCAUGUAGACCAAGUCGUGGACUUGUUGGUUGACUUGCUUGAAGUUAGUUCACAAGAAGGAAGAGAAAAGACAUUUCAAUGCCAUGAGGCAUGUGUUCGGCUAUCCUGGCUGCGAGACAUUUAUCGUAGCAAAUGUGACGCAGGAUACUAGACCGUAGCAGCUAGAGCAUAUCUUUUGCAUUUAGUAGGUUGCACACUCUUUGCUAACAAGAGUGUCACACACAUGCAUGUGGUAUUCUUGGAUGCAUUUCAUGACCUCAGCCAAACUGGAAGCUACGCAUGGGGAGCUGCUGCAUUGGUCCAUAUGUAUGAGAAUUUGAAUGAUGCGUCAAAGAGAAGCGCUAGACAACUUGCAGGAUAUAUCACACUUUUAGAGAUUAUCGUGAGAGGAAACCACAUGUUUGUCGUUGGAAGUCUAUGAAGGCAUUAUCAGUGUCAGCGCAUCAUAAGCAGUUGGAUAGAUUGACGUCCUAUGUUGUGAGCUGGAUUCCUUAUGGUGAUCACCCGUGCAUUCAGAGAGUUUGAGCUGAUCUCAUUAUUUUCUGGACAUAUUAGAAAGGGUCCAUUUAUUGUCAUACACCAACCAGAGAGAGUUGUGCGAGAAUUUGGUUAUGUGCAAACCAUUCCUCCACACCAUGCUGCUUCAUCUUUAUCUAUAAAGGAUAUUGAUGAUAUAUGAGUUAAGUUUUCUAAAUACCUUGCAUCGGUGGGUCAUCAGCUUUGUGGUACUCCUGGAUAGUGUGCAUUGGACUACAUGGAGUGGUUCUACUUCAUAUCUCACCCCUUCAUGAGUCCGAAACAGCUUAAGGAUUCUCCUAGACAUCCACUUGCAGUGCACGAUGAUACAUUUAUUGAACCAAAUCCUCCUCAGCAGCCAAUGGAUAUGCCAGAACCACAUGCAGCUGCACUGGUUGAUGUAGACAUGCCUCGACAUGUACUGAGGUUUGCCAAGGAAUAGCAAAAAGGUUGUAACGCUUGAUCAACCUUAGGGUAGUCACUGAAGGAACAAAAGCAUACACUGUGACCAAGGAGAGCCUAAGGAUCGUCAAGGGUGUGACUAUGCAAGGGAGUGUAUAUAUUCAAUUGAGACAAUGGCGGCGUAUGUCGGACGCAUGAAGAUUGUUAGAAUUUUUUAGGUUUUAUAUGAAUUAUGUAUGUAAUAUGACGGGAUAAUAUUUAUUAUUUAUUGCUAUUUGAUAAGUUUUU